GGCGCACGGGUGAGUAACACGUGACUAACCUACCCUCGAGUGGGGAAUAACCUAGAGAAAUCUGGGCUAAUACCGCAUAACACUUACGAGUCAAAGCAGCAAUGCGCUUGAGGAGGGGGUCGCGGCCGAUUAGCUAGUUGGCGGGGUAAUGGCCCACCAAGGCGAUGAUCGGUAUCCGGCCUGAGAGGGCGCACGGACACACUGGAACUGAAACACGGUCCAGACUCCUACGGGAGGCAGCAGUGGGGAAUUUUGCGCAAUGGGGGAAACCCUGACGCAGCAACGCCGCGUGGAGGAUGAAAUCCCUUGGGAUGUAAACUCCUUUCGAUCGGGACGAUUAUGACGGUACCGGAAGAAGAAGCCCCGGCUAACUUCGUGCCAGCAGCCGCGGUAAUACGAGGGUGGCAAGCGUUGUUCGGAAUUAUUGGGCGUAAAGGGCGCGUAGGCGGUCUGACAAGUCUGAUGUGAAAUCUCUGGGCUCAACCCAGAGUCUGCAUUAGAAACUGUCGGGCUUGAGUAUGGGAGAGGUGAGUGGAAUUUCCGGUGUAGCGGUGAAAUGCGUAGAUAUCGGAAGGAACACCUGUGGCGAAAGCGGCUCACUGGACCAUAACUGACGCUGAGGCGCGAAAGCUAGGGGAGCAAACAGGAUUAGAUACCUUGGUAGUCCUAGCCCUAAACGAUGAUUGCUUGGUGUGACAGGUACCCAAUCCUGUCGUGCCGAAGCUAACGCGAUAAGCAAUCCGCCUGGGGAGUACGGUCGCAAGGCUGAAACUCAAAGGAAUCGACGGGGGCCCGCACAAGCGGUGGAGCAUGUGGUUUAAUUCGA
Molecule: ribosomal RNA, 826 nt
Filed under: uncultured Acidobacteriota bacterium
Lineage: Bacteria; Pseudomonadati; Acidobacteriota
Description: bacterial SSU rRNA
Rfam family: Bacterial small subunit ribosomal RNA
Source: RNAcentral